Non-coding RNA from Odocoileus virginianus texanus, 230 nucleotides. The record is from RefSeq and is a predicted model, not a curated record. NCBI's taxonomy places the organism in Eukaryota, Metazoa, Chordata, Mammalia, Artiodactyla, Cervidae.
CAGGCCCCGCCCCCUGUUUCCGCUGGCUGAGGCAGUGGCGGCGGCGCGCGAGCGCGAUCGAGCCGGACCCCACAUUCCUGGGAGCUCGAAAUAUCCUGGGAUCGUCUCUGAUCUGUCAGCCGUCAAGGUGUUCACAGGACAUUCAAGGAAAAAACAGAAUUUAAGAAGUGCAACAUGGCCAGGGGCUGCCUGUGCUGCCUCAAGUACAUGAUGUUCCUCUUCAAUUUGAU